AACGAACGCUGGCGGCAGGCUUAACACAUGCAAGUCGAACGGUUGUAGCAAUACAGCAGUGGCAGACGGGUGAGUAACACGUGGGAACCUUCCUAGGGGUACGGAACAACUCAGGGAAACUUGAGCUAAUACCGUAUACGUCCGUGAGGAGAAAGAUUUAUCGCCCUUAGACGGGCCCGCGUCGGAUUAGAUAGUUGGUGGGGUAUCGGCCUACCAAGGCGACGAUCCGCAGCUGAUCUUAGAGGAUGAUCAGACACACUGGGACUGAGACCCGGCCCAGCCUCCUACGGGAGGCAGCCGUGGGGAAUCUUGGACAAUGGGCGCAAGCCUGAUCCAGCCAUGCCGCGUGAGUGAAGAAGGUCUUCGGAUUGUAAAGCUCUUUUGCCAGGGACGAUAAUGACGGUACCUGGAGAAUAAGCCCCGGCAAACUUCGUGCCAGCCGCCGCCGUAA
This 451-nucleotide ribosomal RNA is filed under the name uncultured bacterium. RNAcentral describes it as "partial 16S ribosomal RNA". It matches the Rfam family "Bacterial small subunit ribosomal RNA", at positions 29 to 523 of the family's 1533-position model. The record is from RNAcentral.